AACCUGGUUGAUCCUGCCAGUAGCGAUAUGCUCGUCUCAAAGUUUAAGCCAUGCAUGUCUCAGUACACGCCCCUGUACGGUGAAACUGCGAACGGCUCAUUACAUCAGUUAUCGUGUCCUCGAUCGUUCCUUACCACAUGGAUACCCGUGGUAAUUCUAGAGCUAAUACAUGCCCAGUCCCGACCGCUUGCCGGAAGGGAUGUAUUUAUUAGAUUUUCAGACCAUGACGGGGCAACCCGUGCGUUNGUGAUUCAUGGUAACUGCUCGGAUCGCACGGCCUGNGGCGACGNCUCGUUCCAAUUUCUGCCCUAUCAACUGACGAUGGUACGUAGUGGCCUACCAUGGUCGUAACGGGUGACGGAGAAUCAGGGUUCGGUUCCGGAGAGGGAGCCCGAGAAAUGGCUACCACUUCCACGGAAGGCAGCAGGCGCACACAUUGCCCAAUCCCGACACGGGGAGGCAGUGACAAGAAAUAACGGUGCGAGCGCUUAGGCCGUCGCAACNGGAAUGAGUACGACCCAAAUCCUCUAACGAGGAUCCAUUGGAGGGCAAGUCUGGUGCCAGCAGCCGAGGUAAUUCCAGCUCCAACAGUGUAUGCUAAUGUUGCUGCAGUUAAAAAGCUCGUAGUUGGAUCGCAGGCGGUCGACGUCGAGGUGCACUACAUGCGCUACCUCGCGUCGUCGCCUUAUCCGCGGAGGCCGCCGGUGCUCUUGAUCGAGCGCCGGCCGGUCUACCCGGGACGUCACCUUGAGGAAACUAGAGUGUUCAAGGCAGGUGUCUCGCCCUGAAUACCGCAGCAUGGAAUGACACUCGGGACUGUGCGACGCGCAAGCUCGGUCCGGUNCNCNCNUUGGUCUGACGGACCGCAGUGACGGUUAAGAGGGACGGUCGGGGGCAUUCGUAUUUCGUCGUGAGAGGUGAAAUUUCUUAGACCGACGAAAGACGACAAGUNNAAGUUGGCCAAGAACGUUUUCAUUAAUCAAGAACGAAAGUUAGAGGAUCGAAGACGAUCAGAUACCGUCGUAGUUCUAACCAUAAACGAUGCCGACCAGGGAUCGGCGGGCCGUGUUCAUCGAGCUCGUCGGCACCUCCCGGGAAACCUGAGUGUUUGGGUUCCGGGGGGAGUAUGGUCGCAAGACUGAAACUUAAAGGAAUUGACGGAAGGGCACCACCAGGAGUGAGCUGCGCUUAAUUUGACUCAACACGGGGAACCUCACCCAGGUCCGGACAUGACGAGGAUUGACAGACUGACCGAUCUUUCUCGAUCUCAUGGUUGGUGGUGCAUGGCCAGUUCUUAGUUGGUGGAGCGAUUUGUCAGGUUAAUUCCGAUAACGAACGAGACCUUAUNCGGAUAGUUGAGCNCNCGAUCCUCGGAUCGUCCGCUAUCUAGAGGCACUGUCGGUGUNCGNAASCGAAGCGAGGAAGGCAAUAACAGGUCUGUGAUGCCCUUCGAUGUUCUGGGCCGNACGCGCGCUACAAUGACGAGGUCACGAGUCCGCCUCCACCGGAAGGUGUCGGGUAAGCUUGCGAAACGUCGUCGUGAUGGGGACAGAGCAUUGAAAUUAUUGCUCUCGAACGAGGAAUUCCUAGUAGGGCGAGNCAUCAGCUCGNGUCGAGGACGUCCCUGCCCUUUGUACACACGCCGUCGCUACUACCGAUUGGAUGGUUUAGUGAGAGCUCGGGUGCCUCCUCGCGGUGGGCCCCGCGGUCGGAACCUGGUCGAACUUGAUCAUUUAGAGGGAGUAAAAGUCGUAACAAGGUUUCCGUAGGUGAACCUGCAGAAGGAUCAA
RNAcentral lists this ribosomal RNA (1790 nucleotides) under Polypodium hydriforme. RNAcentral describes it as "SSU rRNA". It matches the Rfam family "Eukaryotic small subunit ribosomal RNA". Lineage: Eukaryota; Metazoa; Cnidaria; Polypodiozoa; Polypodiidea; Polypodiidae. The record is from RNAcentral.